RNAcentral lists this ribosomal RNA (300 nucleotides) under uncultured bacterium. RNAcentral describes it as "bacterial SSU rRNA". It matches the Rfam family "Bacterial small subunit ribosomal RNA", at positions 775 to 1067 of the family's 1533-position model. The record is from RNAcentral.
GGAUUAGAUACCCUGGUAGUCCACAGCUGUAAACGAUGGGCACUAGGUGUCGCGGGUCUUGACCCCUGCGGCGCCGUAAGCAAACGCGUUAAGUGCGCCGCCUGGGGAGUACGGUCGCAAGGCUAAAACUCAAAGGAAUUGACGGGGGCUCACACAAGCGGUGGAGCAUGUUGCUUAAUUCGAAACAACGCGAAGAACCUUACCUGGGCUUGACAUGUAUGGAUUAGCUCUUAGAAAUUUGAGUGACGCCUUCGGGUGGAACAUACACAGGUGCUGCAUGGCUGUCGUCAGCUCGUGCUG